This 492-nucleotide ribosomal RNA is filed under the name uncultured bacterium. RNAcentral's name for it is "partial 16S ribosomal RNA". It matches the Rfam family "Bacterial small subunit ribosomal RNA", at positions 29 to 507 of the family's 1533-position model. The record is from RNAcentral.
AGUGAACGCUGGCGGUAGGCCUAACACAUGCAAGUCGAACGGCAGCACCGUAAGAGCUUGCUCUUACGGGUGGCGAGUGGCGGACGGGGGAGGAAUACAUCGGACUCUACUUUUUCGUGGGGGAUAACGUAGGGAAACUUACGCUAAUACCGCAUACGACCUACGGGGGAAAGCAGGGGAUCUUCGGACCUUGCGCGAUGGGAUGAGCCGAUGUCGGAGUAGCUAGUUGGCGGGGUAAAGGCCCACCAAGGCGACGAUCCGUAGCUGGUAUGAGAGGAUGAUCCGCCACACUGGCAGUGAGACACGGCCCAGACUCCUACGGUGGGCAGCAGUGCGGACUCUUGGACAAUGCGCGCGAGCCUGAUCCAGCCAUACCGCGUGGGUGAAGAGGGCCUUCGGGUUGUAAAGUCAUUUUGUUGGGAAAGAAAAGCAGCAGGUUAAUACCCCGCUGUUCUGACGGUACCCAAAGAAUAAGCACCGGCUAACUUCGUG